UACGGAGGAUCCAAGCGUUAUCCGGAAUUACUGGGCGUAAAGAGUUGCGUAGGUGGCAUAGUAAGUAGGUAGUGAAAGCGUUCGGCUCAACCGGAUACACAUUACCUAAACUGCUAAGCUCGAGGAUGAGAGAGGUUAUUGGAAUUCCCUGUGUAGGAGUGAAAUCCGUAGAUAUAGGGAGGAACACCGAUGGCGUAGGCAGAUAACUGGCUCAUUCCUGACACUAAGGCACGAAAGCGUGGGGAGCAAACGGG
RNAcentral lists this ribosomal RNA (254 nucleotides) under uncultured bacterium. RNAcentral describes it as "partial 16S ribosomal RNA". It matches the Rfam family "Bacterial small subunit ribosomal RNA", at positions 524 to 776 of the family's 1533-position model. The record is from RNAcentral.